GCAACCGUGAGCACGAACGGCAGAGUUUUCCCUACUCGAUCUCAUACAGGCGGAAAAAAGCGAACGCAAUGGACAUCGCAAGAAGAAGUAGAUAGAAAAGAACGCGCCGCGCCCAAUCCAAUCAAAAUUCGUUGCUCCGCGUUUUGAGAAACAUUAAAACUUGAGAUAAACGAACCACAAAGGAUGGAAUUGAAUGCAGACCAAGUGUGAAUUAGGUGGAAAAAGAAUUUGGCGACGAGUCGAUAGUGGUUUGGUGUAGUUUGUGUACGGACGGGGAACAAGGCGACUUUCCUUUCGUGCGAGAUCCGACUAGUCCUCGCGCGCGCCUGUGAAAACCCCUGACAGUGUGUGCGUGUCGUGUUGACGCAGAUGUGCAAUUUGUCCUUUCAAAAUAGUUUUGUGAUCCCGAGGAACGUGCAAGUUUCAGACCAAGUCCGGAGUGCGUCUCGCCCGCCGCUGUGGCCCAUUUGGAAUUAACAGAAGGAACUCAACGAUAGAAGCCAACCCGCAUCGCAUUUCGUCACUUUUAGCGACAGACAAUACGCUAAUAACGUUUUGCUCUAAAAAGCAUAUUAAGUGGAAUAAAUCAUCAUCAGAAAGAUUACACAUUAGAAUCGACAUCAUGUUGCGGCAAUCAUUACUUCUGGUUGUCGUCACGUUGACGGCAACAUUCAUAAAUGCUCACAAUUCACCACCUCACAUCACGAAACAACCGCCAACAGAUGAAAUGCUUUUCAAAGUUGCCCAGCUUACAAAAGAAAGUGAUAGUCCAUUUACGAUCGAAUGUGAAGCAGAAGGUCAACCAGAUCCAUCAUAUCGAUGGAUCAAAAACGGCAAACGUUUCGAUUGGCAAGCGUAUGACAAUCGUAUGUCUCAGCAGCCUGGACGAGGUACGCUGCUCAUUUCAUACCCAAAAGAUGAAGACAUGGGACAAUAUCAGUGCUUUGCUGAGAACGAAUUCGGUAUAGCCACUUCAAAUUCAGUGUUCGUUAGGAAAGCCGAAUUGAAUAACUUUAAAGACGAAGCUACGCGAACAGUGGAAGCAAAUGAAGGAGAACCCUUCCAAUUGCAAUGUCAACCGCCGGAUGGUUGGCCCAAACCAAAUGUUCACUGGUUAAUCCAAAGCAUCGACGGUAGCAUUAAAAGUAUAAACAACUCACGUAUGACUUUAGAUCCAGAAGGCAAUUUAUGGUUUUCGAAUGUUACAAGAAACGAUCAAUCAGAAGAUUUUUACUACGCAUGUGCCGCAACAUCUGUAUUCCGAAAUGAGUAUAAAUUGGGCAAUCGUGUCUUGCUAAACGUUGUUCAAACAGGCAUCAGUGCAGCUCAAAACAAAUACCAACCAGUUAAACAAUAUGUUACCAGAAAGAAUGAAGUCGCUCUUAGAGGAAAACGAGUGGAAAUGUAUUGCAUAUACGGAGGAACCCCGUUACCACAAACGGUCUGGAGUAAAGACGGUCAGCCAAUACCUUGGAGCGAUCGAAUCACACAAGGAAACUACGGAAAAAGUUUGGUAAUUCGACACGCUAUCUUUGAAGAUGCUGGUGCCUACACUUGUGAUGUCUCUAACGGUGUUGGAAAUGCUCAAUCUUAUUCGAUAAACCUGAAAAUUUUGGCAACACCUUACUUCACAGUCGAACCAGAAAUUCAGAAUGCAGCUGAGGACGAAAGUAUAGAAUUUAGAUGUGAAGCAUCUGGUGUUCCGGAGCCAACAAUUAAAUGGAUUUUCAAUGGAAAGCCAAUUUCAGAGGCGCCACACAACCCAAGAAGAACUGUUCACACGAACAGCAUCGUUAUCAAAGACCUAUUGAAGACAGAUACUGGCAAUUAUGGCUGUAACGCAACCAACUCUCUUGGAUAUGUCUACAAAGAUGUAUAUUUGAACGUGUUGGCGCUACCACCAGAAAUUCGUGAAGCUCCACGCAGAGAGUCCACUGUCGAUCGACGAAACGUUACACUAACAUGCCGCGUGUUCGGUGCUCCAAAACCAGAAGUUAAAUGGAUUCGUAAUGGGCUAGAAUUAACUGGCGGCCGAUAUAAAACUCUUGAAUCGGGUGACUUGCAGAUCAUAAAUGUAGGAUAUGCGGACGCAGGCGAGUAUACUUGCUAUGCUUUCAACAAGUUCGGAACAAUUGACGCGAAUGGUACGCUGGUAGUGAAAGAGCAUACAAGGAUUACAGAUGGACCGCAGGACUACGAAGUGACGGCUGGAAAUUCGGCUACAUUCCGUUGUAACGCUGUUGCUGAUUCAUCUUUGGAAUUGAAAAUUGAAUGGUGGAAAGACGGCCAACCAAUCGAAUUUGAUAAGGAAGCCCGUUUCGUUCAAACUAAUGACAACUCUUUGACUAUCACUAAAACUAUGGAACUUGAUUCAGGUGACUACACAUGCGUGGCUAAAACAGAGCUUGACGAAACGCAAAUGCAAGCUCAUCUUAUAGUCCAAGAUGUUCCGAAUGCGCCAGCCUUGAAAUCUGUUGAGUGCAAUACUGACUAUGCUGUGAUUACUUGGGAACCUAAAGGUGACAACAGAUCUCCAAUUCUCCAUUAUACUCUCCAAUACAAUACCUCUUUCACACCCGAUACCUGGGAAAAUGCUUUUGAGAAGGUACCCGCAACGGAUUCUACGUUUCAAAUACCCAUGGGUCCUUGGGCCAAUUAUACAUUCCGUGUUAUUGCAUACAAUAAAAUUGGACCCUCUCCACCAUCGAAACAUGGCUCUGUAUGUACUACAGCUCCUGAUGUUCCAUACAAAAAUCCAGAUAACGUAGAAGGAAAAGGCACAGAACCAAACAAUUUAGUAAUCUCAUGGACUCCAAUGCCAGAAAUUGAACAUAAUGCCCCGAACUUUGAAUACCGUGUUUCAUGGAAACGCGAUAUUCCUGGAGCAAAUUGGGAAAAUCAAGACAUUUAUGACUGGAAACAAUCGAGUUUACUUAUUCCGGAUCAACCGACAUUUUCGCGAUAUGUAAUAAAGGUCCUGGCUAUUAAUGAAAUGGGAGAAUCAAAUGUGCCACCCAAGGAAGUUUUCGGUUAUUCUGGAGAAGAUGUGCCAACGGACGCCCCAACUAACUUCUCUAUGAUACAAGUUACAAGUAGUACUUCGGCUGUUUUAAGUUGGAAUCCAGUUUCGAAUACGAGCUUGCGUGGCCACUUUAAGGGUUACAAAAUUGAAACAUGGACUGAAGAAGAAGGCGAAGAUCAUUUCCACGAAGUUCAUGUUCGCCCCGAUUCAACCCAAGCUUUGGUGACAACAUUCAAACCUAACUCUAAAAAUUAUGCCCGCAUACUUGCCUACAACAGUCGCUUUAGUGGACCGCCAAGUGCCACAAUUGAUUUCGAUACACCAGAAGGUGUUCCAUCAGCUGUUCAAUCGUUCGAAGCAUAUCCGUUGGGGUCUUCAGCCUUCCUCCUGACUUGGAAGAAACCCUUGCAGCCAAAUGGAAAACUAACAGGAUACAAAAUUUAUCAUCAAGAAGUGAAGGGAACCUAUCUCGAACCGAAAAUCGAAAGAGAACCUCAUAUUGCUGAUCCAAGGGUGACGCGAGCCAAACUUGCUGGAUUAAAACCAGAUACUAAAUACCGAGUUCACAUCACUGCCACAACCAAGAUGGGAGAGGGCCGGGAAUACUUUAUCGAACAAAAGACUUUAUCAAGCCUUGCUGUACCUCCUGAUACACCCACAUUCACCUGGGAGCAAAUACCUUCGGACAAUGGAUAUGCAGCUAUUAAAGUAAACUGGCAUCCAAAUCUCGAAGGCAAGCCAGGAUCUCACUUCUUUACUAAGUACCGAAUGAAGGAUGAAACCAACUGGCUAGAAUCUAAGCCUGAGAAAAAUGAAGAUUUCCAGAUCAUUAAGGGAUUGGACCCCGACUCCGUUUAUGAAUUCCGAGUAGUAUCGGCCGAUGGAGACUACACAACGGAAAGUUCCACACAAGAAAUUGACACAAAUGGUGUCGAAGGACCAAUAAAAAUCCGAAAUGAGAACGUUGCAACUGCUGGAUGGUUCAUUGGAAUGAUGCUGGCCAUUGCAUUCCUGUUGCUUCUAUUAAUAAUAAUCUGUAUUAUUAAGCGGAAUCGUGGUGGAAAGUAUGAUGUUCACGAUAGAGAAUUAGCAAAUGGACGACGUGAUUAUCCAGAUGAAGGUGGCUUCCAUGAAUAUUCGCAACCUGUUGGUCGACAGUCGGUUGCAUCAAAUCCAAUCAAACCCGGACCUGAGAGCGAUACAGAUUCAAUGGCAGAAUAUGGUGAAGGAGAUACAGAAGGCAUGAACGAAGACGGUUCAUUUAUUGGACAAUAUGGACGAAAAGGACUUUGAUUCCUAAUUUAAGUUUUUAUACGCAAUUUUUUCACAUAAAAAACCGAUAUUUUCAACAAUAUUUACUACGCACAUACACUUAGAUGGAAGUUUAUUUUUGAACGAGAGCGCAGCUUUCAGUUUCUUUAUUUUUAUUUCGAGGACAAUUCACCGAAGAUGGUUCGUUCAUAGGCCAAUAUGUGCCUGGUAAACUACAACCGCCAGUAAGUCCACAACCAGUUGCACAUAACCAACCAAUACCACAAACUUCAUCUCAAGGCACUAACGCCGU
This 4586-nucleotide unclassified non-coding RNA is filed under the name Hermetia illucens (black soldier fly). RNAcentral describes it as "neuroglian, transcript variant X4". Lineage: Eukaryota; Metazoa; Arthropoda; Insecta; Diptera; Stratiomyidae. The record is from RNAcentral.